GGGCGCGUAGCUCAACGGUAGAGCAGUGGCCUUUUAAGCCAUUGGUUGAGAGUUCGAUCCUCUCCGCGCUCA
RNAcentral lists this transfer RNA (72 nucleotides) under Pelolinea sp. RNAcentral's name for it is "tRNA-Lys". It matches the Rfam family "tRNA". From Rfam's summary of the family: Transfer RNA (tRNA) molecules are approximately 80 nucleotides in length. Their secondary structure includes four short double-helical elements and three loops (D, anti-codon, and T loops). Further hydrogen bonds mediate the characteristic L-shaped molecular structure. tRNAs have two regions of fundamental functional importance: the anti-codon, which is responsible for specific mRNA codon recognition, and the 3' end, to which the tRNAs corresponding amino acid is attached (by aminoacyl-tRNA synthetases). tRNAs cope with the degeneracy of the genetic code in two manners: having more than one tRNA (with a specific anti-codon) for a particular amino acid; and 'wobble' base-pairing, i.e. permitting non-standard base-pairing at the 3rd anti-codon position. Lineage: Bacteria; Bacillati; Chloroflexota; Anaerolineae; Anaerolineales; Anaerolineaceae. The record is from RNAcentral.